ACCCUGACGCAUCAACGCCGCGUGAGUGAAGAAGGCCUUUGGGUCGUAAAGCUCUGUCAAUCGGGAAGAAGUUAUGGGAGUCGAAUAGGCUUUCAUAUUGACGGUACCGGUGAAGGAAGCAUCGGCUAACUCCGUGCCAGCAGCCGCGGUAAUA
Molecule: ribosomal RNA, 154 nt
Filed under: uncultured bacterium
Lineage: Bacteria
Description: partial 16S ribosomal RNA
Rfam family: Bacterial small subunit ribosomal RNA
Source: RNAcentral